Molecule: long non-coding RNA, 1337 nt
Filed under: Coturnix japonica (Japanese quail)
Lineage: Eukaryota; Metazoa; Chordata; Aves; Galliformes; Phasianidae
Description: lncRNA (ENSCJPG00005014581.1)
Source: RNAcentral
CAGAGGAGUGCUGAGGAUUCCUUGAACCACAACAGCUGUCUGCAGCCCACAGAGCCAACCAGAUUCCAGGGCUGGAGCAGCAGUACUUGGCAGCAUCUCAUAAGGCACAGAGCUGCCCCAGCAGGUAGGCUGGGACAUCUCAUUGCCCAGAGAAGCUGCAAACUGUCAGGUGACUGGAUGAAUUUACAACUAAAUGUAGGUCAGAAACAAGAGGUAGGAAAAAUAAGGGGACAGCGUGAGCAUUCUGCAUCGGGAGGAUGGAUGCAGUGGAAAACAGCAGGUGGUGAUAGAUGGUGAUCUGGUGGAGUGAUUGGGAUGGUGGCGUGUUUAUUUGAAUCAGGGGCUGCAUGUGAGUAUUGCAGAGCAUUCUUAAUGAAAGCUAGUAAACAUUUUACUACGCUGUCAGAUAGCUGCAGUUCACUGAUGCUGCAGAAAGCCUGUUUUGCAUAUUUAGAAAUAGGUCACUGGGACACGAUUGCACUCCUCUUCUGAAAAGCAAGGUGUGAUUGAGAAGAACUCAGUGUUCAGAACUCCAACAGAGUUGUGAAACCAACCAGAAACAGCUGAUGCUAGGCUGGGUAUUGAUGUCCCACCAGUGCCUUGACACCCCAGACCCUGACAGCAGAUGUAAGUGCUGUGUCCCAGCGGGCAGCACAAUGUGCUUUUCUCUCUCUUGGUCACAACAGCCACUUGCUGUUGGGGUUUCACAAGCUUCUAAGUAGGCAAUCGGAUCUAUAGGUUGAGUCUGUAUGGGAGUAAGGGUGGGGCUUAAAUAUGGGUAAUGUUUCUCAAAAAUGGAGUUGCUUCGUGUUCAAGUAUAUGCCAUCUGUGCAGGGUGUCUGACAGCCUGCUGGUAAACACAGGAGGCUUUCUGCUGUGUCUGUGAUUCAUCUGCAAGUGAAUUAAUGUUUUGGAAUGGGGAGCACAGCUCAACAGCCAGGGGGAGCAGAGAGGAGCACGCAGCUCUGGGCUGCAUGUUCAGCAGGAGGAAGAUGGGUGCAGGAGGGACUCAGGCUGUCUGAACAGUGCCUUCCAUGUGUGGGUCAGAGAAGAGGCAGGUCACAUUUGCCUCCAUCCAUCCAUGGAUCCCAAGGUGAGAUGUGGGAAUUUUCUGGGGUCAUCUCUCUGGAGGAAUGGAGGAAGACUUGUUUUGUCUUCUGGGCUGAUGAUAAUAAGAUUAUUGUCUUAUAUAUUACUAGCUUAUCUCUCACAAAAAAAAAAAAAAAAAAAAAAAAAAAAAGAAGGUUAGGUUCCACAUUUCCACAUCAUUUCCUUCUAAGAAAAAUUCAAAUAGAUUGCUCUUUAAUGUGUCAGUACCUAAAAUACCCAUCCCCCUG